GCUCAAACCCUCUCUUUCCCUUCACCCCCUCUCUUUCCCUUCACCCCCUCUCUCACUCUCUACCUCUCCGGCGAAUGUCGCCGGCUCUCGCCGCUUCCGGCGCGGCGAGGCUGACGCAUCUUCUCCCCUUCCGCUUUCUUCCAUCUCCUUCCUACAUGUAAUUCCCCAAAUUCUAAAAUCAAUUCAACCUAGGGUUUUCAAUCUCCCCCAUCAAUUUUACUCCUCUGGAGAAUCCCGGCGAAUAACGUUGCCGCCGCCCCAGCUCGUCGGAUUUUCGGUCCUCCGUCGUUCUUCCUGCCUCAGGGAUUGAUCGGCGUCGUCAACUCCGGCGUGUCAACUUCGUCUACUGCCCAAGAUUCCAUUUUUAUUCCUUUGUGGUUAUAAAUCUGUUAUCUUCACUAUUUAUUCGAUUUAUAAACUCCUGUAUCUGGAAGCAUACUAUAGAUGUCAAAGAAAAUUGGUAUUAUUGCCUUGGUAUAUUGAAUUGGAACUAGAUCUAGCUAUUGUCUA
This is a long non-coding RNA of Salvia miltiorrhiza (redroot sage), 510 nucleotides long. RefSeq lists it as uncharacterized. The record is from RefSeq and is a predicted model, not a curated record. Lineage: Eukaryota; Viridiplantae; Streptophyta; Magnoliopsida; Lamiales; Lamiaceae. The transcript is spliced from 2 exons.